Molecule: long non-coding RNA, 1337 nt
Organism: Branchiostoma belcheri (Belcher's lancelet)
Lineage: Eukaryota; Metazoa; Chordata; Leptocardii; Amphioxiformes; Branchiostomatidae
Exons: 3
Source: RefSeq, a predicted model, not a curated record
AACGCGCGCGAGUGGACGGGAGCGGGUAUGGUCGUCAAAACGGGUCUUUUUCUUCAAUAUUCUGCAAACUUAGCGUAAUUUCUUUAUUUGUAAUGCCAGGUAAUGUACCCAACUAUGUUGUAACGUAAGUUUGUGCGAUAUUAUCCUCCUGUUAUUUUUCUACAAUUUUUUUUUUCUGGGGACAUACAGAUCAGUCUUUCGCGUUCACCCCGAAACGCAGGCACUCUGAUCACACUAUUAAUACAGUUAUUUUCAGUCUUAUCCUCAUGUCUCUGACUUGAUUUGAGGACUUUUUCCAGUCGCCACCGCGGAUGUCGUUACAAACCCUAAGUGAGCCUCACUGGGCCACGCCACCGGAUAUCCUCUCCAGACAGGAUGUACACAAGUGCCGCCAGAAAGUAGUACGUGACAAGGACGAAACAUUUAGUAAUAAGUGUUCGCUUUUAACAGUUUGCCUUAUUUUUCGUAUUGUGUUAUAUUUUUGAAGUAUUAGUAGAAUAAUCUUUGCCUGGUAUGAUUUAGUUGUUGGUAUACACGAUAUCUGACCACUUCCGCGGCGGAUGGAUAUAGACAGAAUUACUCGUCGCACAACCACCCAGCUUUAGUUGGAGAGGAAGGGCGGUGACGAGAGUGUAAGGCUAGGCGCGUCUGACAUCUGUGAUGGAUUAUCUUGUUGGCGGGCGAGAACUGUGUCAAUCAAACCGCAAGCAUCAGGGCAGAUGCAUGGCGGCAGCAGACUUCAACACCUGAGAUGAACAUCAUACAUCAUGGAUUAGUUGCGAGGACCAUCCCAAAUAACACACCAGCAGCCGUGCACGGAAAAGUCGUACAUGAUGGAAAUCAGCUAUUCAUCACAGCCUUCAACAUCUUAGUUGUAUGUAAAAACUGGUGACAGGGCAAUUGGUUGACGUAUCACUGAAGUUUGUCUUGUGACAGAACAUCCAGCUUACUCAGGGGUUGUUAGGGUUAGGUCCAUUCUUACAGCUGCCCAGCCUCUUGGAAACCCAGACUUCGGGGACUGUGCCACUGGCUCAGUGGGGGCUGGUUCAGCUUAGUUAGAUGGGUUUGUUGGAUGCUAAUGUCUCAUAACAAUCUUUCGUAUUACGCUAUUUAGAAAUAGUCCCUGAAUCAAUUAUUCAUUGUGGUACUUUGUCAACACAAUCAGGAAAGGUAAGGCUUUUGUGUUUAAUACUAAACGAGAUCAGAUAUGUGCACAAGGCCAAGAGGUUUAUACAUGACAUGGAGUCAUCCAAGGUUUAUCCUUCGGUCUAGCUAGUAUAAAUGCACACUUGAGUUUUCAGUUUACAUGGAUAAACCUACAUUUGUUGUCGAGUUCU